UGACCUUGGCUCAAAUUCUCAAGUGGUUUGAGUUUUGUUUUUUUCCAAGCACCAAUGCUGCUCAUGUUUUGUUCUUCCCAUAUUUUCUUUCACACUUUGACAAUUUUUGACUAAUCCUUUCACCAGCUUUAUUGUCUCUUGUCUCUGUGUUACUGUUUCUCAGCUUGUCAUUUAAUAACUGAAAUACUAGGAUGUAUAAGUACACGGGAAAUGCCAUAUAUCAUCCAGUUGUCAUGUUUGGAAUUGCAGCUCUGUUGCACAUGAUACAGUUAUAAAUUAAAAUUUUCCAUUGACCUGGAGCUUAGAAGGAUAUUUUCAGUGCAGUAUUUACUUCAUUUUGCAGAUCUUGAUAUAUUUAUAUCUAUUUAUCUUUUAUGUAUCUAUUUGUAUUUCUUCUUAUGUUCCUAUUUCUUAUUUAUUUUGCUAUUCCUAGUAAAAAUCCAUUUCUCUGGCUUGCCCUUGUCUCUAUUGAGGUGAUCUUUGCAACCAUUCCUGAGACAGAGUGAAAGUUUUUGCUUGUAAAUGGAUUGGCAAACAUAUACAAAAUCCUGCAUGUUCUAUCUAUGCAGAGAACUAGGGAAAGUUGACUUUUCUCAAUAUCAAAGGAAAAAGGAGAAAAUGAUGUCUUUCAAAAAUGGCUGUGUCUGAAAUAAUUCAGGACAGGAAGAUUUUAUGAGACCUGUCUUUAUAAAUUCUGGAAUUGAUCCAUUUGUCUCUUUAAAAUUUAACUGCAGUCAAGAGAAAGAUUAAAGAUUGUGUCAUUUUGAUAAUGUAGUACAAAGCUAUAUUUGGUAACUAAAAGAGCUUGUCGAAAGCACUUGCUUUCCACCAGGACUAGCGCAUUGAAGCCAACAUGGGACCUGAAUCCAGCCCAUUUUUGAAUCAUGACAGGCCCAAGCCAUCUUUAAAAAUGUUGAGAUCGCAUGCUGUCGGAUUUGGUUCAGACUUCCCAGACUUGUCUGAUUACUUAAUCCAAAGCCACAUCCUCCACUCGAUGGCUGCCAAAGUGAGCCACAGGCGAGAGGUGAGCUGAGUUGUGUUUGGUCAGUCCCCAUGCAAGUUGUUCUUUCCUUUUUUUCUUCUCCUACUCUGUGGUUUUCUUGUUUUGUUUGGUCUUUUUCCCUGGUUUUUGUUUUGUUUUGUUUGUUUUGUUUUGUUUGGUUUUUUUUUUUUUUGUCAUAAUUUUACAUAUGAUCCUCUUGGUUUGUUCUUUACCUGUUUACAUUGCACCUAAUCACAUU
This 1241-nucleotide long non-coding RNA is filed under the name Ficedula albicollis (Collared flycatcher). RNAcentral's name for it is "lncRNA (ENSFALG00000026137.1)". The record is from RNAcentral. Lineage: Eukaryota; Metazoa; Chordata; Aves; Passeriformes; Muscicapidae.